RNAcentral lists this ribosomal RNA (253 nucleotides) under uncultured bacterium. RNAcentral describes it as "partial 16S ribosomal RNA". It matches the Rfam family "Bacterial small subunit ribosomal RNA", at positions 524 to 776 of the family's 1533-position model. The record is from RNAcentral.
UACGGAGGGUGCAAGCGUUAAUCGGAAUUACUGGGCGUAAAGCGCGCGUAGGCGGUUUUUUAAGUCGGAUGUGAAAGCUCCGGGCUCAACCUGGGAACUGCAUCCGAUACUGGAAGACUAGAAUGCGGGAGAGGGAGGUAGAAUUCCAUGUGUAGCAGUGAAAUGCGUAGAUAUAUGGAGGAAUACCAGUGGCGAAGGCGGCCUCCUGGCUCGACAUUGACGCUGAGGUGCGAAAGCGUGGGGAGCAAACGGG